UACGUAGGGUGCAAGCAUUAUCCGGAGUGACUGGGCGUAAAGAGUUGCGUAGGUGGUUUGUAAAGCGAAUAGUGAAAUCUGGGGGCUCAACCUCACAGACUAUUAUUCGAACUCACAAACUCGAGAAUGGUAGAGGUAACUGGAAUUUCUAGUGUAGGAGUGAAAUCCGUAGAUAUUAGAAGGAACACCAAUGGCGUAGGCAGGUUACUGGACCAUUUCUGACACUGAGGCACGAAAGCGUGGGGAGCGAACCGG
This 255-nucleotide ribosomal RNA is filed under the name uncultured bacterium. RNAcentral's name for it is "partial 16S ribosomal RNA". It matches the Rfam family "Bacterial small subunit ribosomal RNA", at positions 524 to 776 of the family's 1533-position model. The record is from RNAcentral.